RNAcentral lists this ribosomal RNA (115 nucleotides) under Sinocyclocheilus rhinocerous. Lineage: Eukaryota; Metazoa; Chordata; Actinopteri; Cypriniformes; Cyprinidae. The record is from RNAcentral.
ACAUGCAGCUAUUACUCUCCAGCUCUCAUCUGGUUGCCCACUGAAGCUAAGCAGGGUUGAGCCUGGUCAGUACCUGGAUGGGAGACCUCCUGGGAAAACUAGGUUGCUGCUGGAA